GUCCUCGCUCGAGCACCGGGACACCAUGGGCGGGAUGCCCUUUGGAGCCGACACAGGCCAGGGAGAGACGGCUGCGAGGGGGAGGACGCUGGAGCCCACACGCCGUCCAGGCGGCCAUCUUCGGGGGGCGAGCCCACGGGCUUCGCGCCCUACAGCCUCUCCUUCUCGCCCUUCUCCAAGGACGCGGCCAUGUGGCAAGGUUUGUUUGGUACAGCAGCAGAACAAGGAGCUGCAUCUUCAAGGUCAGCAGCAGCAGCAGCUACAUGGAUGCAAGGACGCCACCAUGGAUGAAAGAGCAGCUCAAUUUGAAGGAGAAGUCUCCCUAUGUUGCCAAGGCUGAGAUGCUCAAGGCCGAGUACACCAAGAAGAUCGAUGCUUACAACUACCCAUAGGGUGACUAGUGAUGCGGCACACCAAGCAACAGUGGGGGAAGGGGGUCUCUGGAAUGUCGAUGUUGCCACUUAUUGCUGAAGUCACCAAUUUAUGAUGGAUGGUUGCUGUUAGUUUAGCUCCUUGGUAGUCCCUCCUCUCUUUCAGGCAGCUGCUGCUGCUAGUAGAAAUGGAAGCUAUUGUGUGCCAUGUAGUUCAUGUUGGAAAUAUGCCCU
Molecule: long non-coding RNA, 605 nt
Organism: Triticum dicoccoides
Lineage: Eukaryota; Viridiplantae; Streptophyta; Magnoliopsida; Poales; Poaceae
Exons: 4
Source: RefSeq, a predicted model, not a curated record